UAAAGUAUAGCUAAAAUAGUAUAGCAUUUCAGUUACGUUGAAAGGGAUUAUCGUGCAAGUCGGUUUACUUUAA
This 73-nucleotide transfer RNA is filed under the name Austinograea rodriguezensis. Its description in RNAcentral is "tRNA-Val". Lineage: Eukaryota; Metazoa; Arthropoda; Malacostraca; Decapoda; Bythograeidae. The record is from RNAcentral. RNAcentral also lists the same sequence under 2 other names.